GUGCUUGCUUCAGCAGCACAUAUACUAAAAUUGAAACAAUACAGAGAAGAUUAGCAUGGCCCAUGCACAAGGAUGACAUGCAAAUUCAUGAAGUUUUCCAUACUUUU
Small nuclear RNA from Echinops telfairi (small Madagascar hedgehog), 107 nucleotides. The record is from RefSeq and is a predicted model, not a curated record. NCBI's taxonomy places the organism in Eukaryota, Metazoa, Chordata, Mammalia, Afrosoricida, Tenrecidae.